UGGGGAAUUUUUGGACAAUGGGCGAAAGCCUGAUCCAGCAAUGCCGCGUGUGUGAAGAAGGCCUUCGGGUUGUAAAGCACUUUUGUCCGGAAAGAAAUCCUCUGGGUUAAUACUCGGGGGGAUGACGGUACCGGAAGAAUAAGCACCGGCUAACUACGUGCCAGCAGCCGCGGUAAUACGUAGGGUGCAAGCGUUAAUCGGAAUUACUGGGCGUAAAGCGUGCGCAGGCGGUUUUGUAAGACGGAUGUGAAAUCCCCGGGCUUAACCUGGGAACUGCAUUCGUGACUGCAAGGCUAGAGUAUGGCAGAGGGGGGUAGAAUUCCACGUGUGAGCAGUGAAAUGCGUAGAGAUGGUGGAGGAAUACCGAUGGCGAAGGCAGCCCCCUGGGCCAAUACUGACGCUCAUGCACGAAAGCGUGGGG
Molecule: ribosomal RNA, 421 nt
Filed under: uncultured bacterium
Lineage: Bacteria
Description: partial 16S ribosomal RNA
Rfam family: Bacterial small subunit ribosomal RNA
Source: RNAcentral